Molecule: transfer RNA, 98 nt
Organism: Stereum hirsutum FP-91666 SS1
Lineage: Eukaryota; Fungi; Basidiomycota; Agaricomycetes; Russulales; Stereaceae
Rfam family: tRNA
About the family: Transfer RNA (tRNA) molecules are approximately 80 nucleotides in length. Their secondary structure includes four short double-helical elements and three loops (D, anti-codon, and T loops).
Source: Rfam
AGCUCGAUAGCGCAACGGUAGCGCGUCCGUCCUCUAUUGUGGAUCGGAAUUGACCUAAUUGUUGACGGAAGAUCUCGGUUCGACUCCGAGUCGAACUA